CGUCGCCUGCGAUGCUCGAUAACCGCCUGGGUAUUUUCUUGAGCCUAAUUAGUACCCUGGGGGCAUAAUGUAAAGGCUGUUGUGCAUGCCCGCCCACGAGCGGGAAGCCUGAAGCCAGCGCGAGUGCCCCCACUUGAACCCCUUGGUUCAAGAACGAAGGUCGGUACCGGCAAACGCGGGGGGCGC
This 186-nucleotide non-coding RNA is filed under the name Thiorhodovibrio frisius. RNAcentral's name for it is "Thiorhodovibrio sp. 970 6S / SsrS RNA". It matches the Rfam family "6S / SsrS RNA". Rfam says of the family: E. coli 6S RNA was the first non coding RNA to be sequenced, but its function was unknown until recently. The record is from Rfam by way of RNAcentral. Lineage: Bacteria; Pseudomonadati; Pseudomonadota; Gammaproteobacteria; Chromatiales; Chromatiaceae.